Molecule: long non-coding RNA, 444 nt
Filed under: Malus domestica (apple)
Lineage: Eukaryota; Viridiplantae; Streptophyta; Magnoliopsida; Rosales; Rosaceae
Description: long non-coding RNA (MDOM_LNC017141)
Source: RNAcentral
UCUAGCUACCCCAUAUUAUUACCCACAAGGGUAAAGGAACAGUAUCACUGCUGGAUAAUUGGAAAGUCCCUGUGUGUCAACCUCUGUGCUUCGUGGCAAGGUAGACUAGCAAACAUGCCCAACCUUUACUCACAUUCGAGAAAACACUCCCAACAAGAUUGCUUGCUCCAAAAUCGAAGAGGCACCGUCCUCCGAAUCUCGAGAGCCAGACUCCCAACAUGACUACUUUCUCAAAAAUCGAAGAGAGGGUAAAGGAACAGUACCAUUGCUGGAUAAUUGGAAAGUCCCUGUGUGUCAACCUCUGUGCUUCGUAGCAAGGUAGACUAGCAAACAUGCCCAACCUUUACUCACAUUCGAGAAAACACUCCCAACAAGAUUGCUUGCUCCAAAAUCGAAGAGGCACCGCCCUCCGAAUCUCGAGAGCCAGACUCCCAACAUGAUUAC